Molecule: long non-coding RNA, 4328 nt
Organism: Dromaius novaehollandiae (emu)
Lineage: Eukaryota; Metazoa; Chordata; Aves; Casuariiformes; Dromaiidae
Exons: 5
Source: RefSeq, a predicted model, not a curated record
CGGGCUCGCUGGGUGAGGCCGCAACUUGGGAGAGCGGGAGGAUAUUUAUUUUUUUUUGACCUCCUCCCUCCCCCCCGCACGCACCGGCAUACAUACACGCACGCCACCCCUUUCUCCUCCCUCCGCGGCGCAAAUUGGGCUGCUCUCCAGGGGAGGAGCGAGGGGGCGGGGGCCGCGUCCAAAGCUCGGCCGCCCCCCCUCCCCGCCGCCCAAAAGCACCCAAGCGAUCAAAGAAGCGAAAAACACAAUCCUGAGCCCACCCCAAACUCUGCGAUGCCCGGAGAAACUGCCAAGUGACUCAAACUCUGGCUGCGAAGGGAAGCGCCCCCCCCGGCCCGGCUUCCCCCCCCUCCUCCUCGCUUUUGCAACUCUGCGGCGCCGGGGUCUGCUUCACCCCGGGGGGGGGGGUGUGUGUGUGGGGGGUGUUUCUAUAUGUGUGUGUGUGUGUGUGUGUGUGUGUGUGUGUGUGUAUGUGUGUGUGUGUGUGUGUGUGUGUGUGCCGGAGAGUCCAGGGCGGGGGACCCGGCGGCGCCAGGCACCAAAGUUGAGCCCCCUCCUCCGGCCUCGUUGGGAGGCUUUGCAAGACUUCGCAACCCGCAAGAGGAGGAGGAGGAGGAGGAGGAGGAAGAAGCAGCAGCAGCAGCCCCCAGGCCCAGAGAGGGGCCGCCUGCUCUUGUCCUGCCCGGCUCGCUUCUCCUCUAGGCAGAAGGCGCCGCUGCCGUAACUCCGGCUGGCGACUUUGCUGCUGAGCUGAAACUGCUAAUUUCUGUGACCAGCUUUUUUCUUAGCUGUGAUCUGGAUGAAUGAGUAGCUGUCUCGCAGAGAUGACAAAAAUAAACUCUAAUCCCCCCCAAAAUUUCCACUACAUCUUUCUCAUGCAUAGAUUUAUGAUCUUCAAGCGCCCUGUGCAAUAUGCAAACUUUUUGCGGCCUCCACUGAGACCUCACGGAAGUGCCAGUGUAGAGACUUGUAGCAAAGAGGUCAAUACUGCAAAAAGAAGUGGGGCCCAUCUUGCAAUUAAAGGAAGAGGCUCUCCUGCAGAGAAGGUCUGCAUCAAGAAAAUCUAAGCCCUUUCUGAAUACGCAUGCUUUUGAUGCAGCACUGACAGGAGUAGCAAGAGGGCUGGAAUUUGUCUUUUUGGCCCAGCAUGAAGCAAGAAAAGCAUGUACUGCCAUGCACAAGACAGAAGAGCUAUUGCUUCUCCCUACAGCACCAGCUGUAGAGAUCUUUUCCUGCAUUCAGGAGAUACCUUCAUCUGUCUGCGUGCGACUGCCAACCUGAGGAAUGGAAGGAAAAAUGAGUCUGCCUCUGACUACUUGUUCCCAUGGCAGAGCAGACCUGGAGGUUAUCCCAGCCACUGCUGCAACGUUACAGGUCUCAGGAGCACUGAGCUGCCGCGGCCACAGCGAGCACUGCUUACCAGAGACCGCCACGUUCGUUCCUACUGAAUCCGCUUGGAAAAACUGCUGCUGGGAGGGGACGUCAGCUGUAAAUGCUACCAGGGGCGCUUGGAGAAAGAAGGGAGACCCUGAUUUGAGCUUCCCAGGGUUUUGUGGAUCACCGUCAAACUCAUUUCCUCCAGACUUCACUUAAAAAAGAAUUCUCUGGAAACUGAUGUUUGUGCACCCACAGUUCUGAAAUUCUAGCAAGAAAGAUGUAGCCCAGGCGUUGUUGCUGCUGUUGCACUUGUUCCUGCUCCUUUUACAUCUUCCUCUCUGCUUCCCUGUCUACUCGACAAGUAAUUCCACACAGGUAUGCAUGGUCUUGCACUCUCCCCACUAAUUUUUUAGAGUGGUUUAUGGGCUCAUGGAAAUUUGGAUCAUUAUCACAGGCCUGAAAUUUCCACUAAGUUUCGUGAUUUUUGUGAACAGUGUGAACCACCUCCUCAGACCAGCUUACAGCAAAGCCUAGUAGGGUGCCCACAAGCGCCAGCAGGGCGUGCAAAUCAGUCCCGCAGCAGCUGCAGGGAGAGGCAGUCUGCUGCGGGAGCUGGGGGAUGCUGGGUGCUUGGCAGGUGCUGAAAUGUUUAAGAGAGAGAGGAUUCAUGCAAUAUGCUUCAGUUCCAAUCAGAGCUGUCCUCUCCCACCAUGAUCAGGGGUCAGUUAGGAGCCAAGGAGUCUCAGUGAUGAGUGAAGCCCCUAAAGGGACCGGUAUUGCUGAUGUUUGGAUGCCUUAAUACCCCAGCCCCAAAUUGCAAGGUCCCCAUCUACAACUUGGGUCGCUUGGUAGACCUGACUUGGGCUGGGUUCAUUUUUGCAACAUGUAACUGGAAAAAAUCAAUUGUUUUUCAUCUUUCUCUUUGAAACCAAAUAUACAAUUUCUGCCACUCCACAACUUAAGUGCCUGAUUCCUCUCUGAUCCGUACCACUUUACUCCUGCGUAAGACUCUGUUGAAUACAAUAGUGUUCCUAAUUCCCAUGGUAGCAAUACGGUCCAGAAAAUAGUCAUGAUCCUCCCUGGUCUGUUCCUGGCUUUGGCCUCCACUGUGGGAACCUGACUCACAGUGGAGCUUAAUAUACAAUUAUUGGGCUUAAUAUAUGAUUCAGCCAGUAAAAUUCCUUCAGACUGUGAAAACCAGAAGCCAGCUGUCUUCAGUAUUCAUCCCCGUGUGGUUUUGGCAUUUUGCUGGAGGUUCACUGAUGUGACAACUGGUGCGUUUCCAAAAAGCCCUUUUCCCAUUUUCAGCAGUCUUGUGUUCUGAAGCUAUCUAGUGAAAACGGAGUAUAAAAUUCAUAGUUGAAGAAAAAAAGUCACUUAAAUUGGUCCUUUCCAAGGUUUUGAGACUGUCUGUGAGUCAUCAGUCCAGCAUAAGAAAACUCAGCAUUUUAUCUUCAGCUUAAGCAUGCUUGCAAAUCAGAAGAGUUUUAUUGGAGCUUGGGUGCUAGAAAUUGGGCCUAGUUUGAAAUCUGGAACAUGGAAAACACCCUGGUACCUUGAGCUGCCCACUUUGCGAGGCUGAACUGAAAAAGGUGAUCCAAACCUUUCUGGACACUGGAGAAGUCUGGAGCCAGGCUUCAUUGGUCAUAUCAUGGCAUGUCUGGCUUGUGAUCUGGACUGAGAAAUAGGGGGCUGUGGGGAAGGGAGAAGGGAGACACUGGCACCUCUUUCCCUGAGAGAAGCAGCAAGCUUUGUCACGGUGCUCAGGACAGCAGCGGGAGACGCUGCCAGCUGAACAACAUCCCUACAGGGGCAUGAACUGCUGCUCAGCCAGGCAUGGUGAGCCCUGUCUCUGCCUGGCGAGGCUUGCUGCUGACUGCAGCAAGCUCCAACCAAGGACAUCCUGUUUCUCCCCAAGAAGAGGCAAAGUACUUUCCUCAGCACAUUCCCCUUGCCCACCAUGCAGCAUCUUGUUUGCACAAGCUUCUGCUGUCUGUCUGUCCCUCUACUCUUACUAGGCAAUGCCUUUGGUUUCCUUUCUCUUACUAGCCAGGGCAAGAUUUAGCCAGGCGACUCUGGUCUAUAUGCCACUGGUUGAGCAGAAUGAAAACUCUGCUCUCAGAGUCCUCUCUGGUAUCACAGAUUGUGGCAUUCAGGAGAAGAAACUGGGAGUUUGCUCAGACAUGGCAGCUGAAAACAGGUAAACUGCAAACGAAUGAGUUAGCUUACUUUGAGAAGUUGCUGCCCCCCCCCCCCAUUUGGAAGCUGUUGCUUUGUCAGCUGAGAGGCAGAGUAGCCACGUGUGUGCCAGGCUGUUCUCUGCAAAAUAAAACAGCUGUGCUUGAACCACCUCUCUGAUCAUCUGACCAUGCCCUUUGAGUAAUUUAUGGAUAUCAAGAUGUUCUUCUGCUUGGAUCUUCCAAGUUGUUGCGGCAAGUGAAAAUAACCACCUUGUUGCCAGGGUAGAUCAUGCUCUGGUUCUUACGUAGCCACUUUCAAAUGGCCUUCAACAUCGCAAGAAGGGGAUCAGACCCUUAUUGUACAGGAACGGUUAUCCUGGAUUCCAGCAGCUGUGAGCUUCCUAAAAGACCCACUCCUGCUAUCAGUGCCUGUCCGAAUAGCCCUAGCUUGUACCAGCACUUUGCUGAAGCCACUGCAACUGCCACCUGAAUGAAAGCCUGAACACUGGUCCUUUAAUUUGCGGAAACAGAUACAAAUGAGUGCUCCAUGUUUCAUUAUCAUCUUUCUUUUUUUCUUCUUCUUCUUUACCAUUUACAUUGCAUGCAUACACUUGAGCAACUUGGCUUCAGUCUUGAUUGAAAUAUUUAAUGGAUAUUAUUCAUUGUUGGUAUUCUCUUGAUGUUGUUCUCAUUCAUUUUAAAACUGCCAAACCUUCCCAUUUUUCAAGGAUGCCUGGCCUUUUAAAUAAAGAAAGCAUUUUGAUACCUUUA